GCUUGGUGGUUUUGUUUUAUAGCUUUCAUUGCAUUGUCUAAUCUAUUUUCAGUUUGGGUAACAAAAGAUGUUAAACUUCCUCCAUAUUGUUUUAAUGCAGAGGAGAUUUUAUUAUUUUCAGAAGUGAAUGAAUUAAUAUGAGUAGCUAAUUUCCGUAGUUGUUUUUCCGUAGCUAAACCAAACAAUCCUCCAAAAAUAUUUCCUACAAAAGGUAAAAGGCUUCGCUUGGAUUUACCUAUUAAAGUUUUAUUUAGCUUCGGUACCAACUUAUCUACUAACGAUCUUGUUUCUUGAAUUUGGGAAUUCAUAUAUGAUCUCAUAUAAUUUAUUUGUGAAACCAUCUUGUUAUGAGAAUCGCACUGAUAACCGGCUAAUUUUGGACAUUUAGUUACUAAAGUAUGUUGCAAAUC
Molecule: long non-coding RNA, 410 nt
Filed under: Mytilus galloprovincialis (Mediterranean mussel)
Lineage: Eukaryota; Metazoa; Mollusca; Bivalvia; Mytilida; Mytilidae
Source: RNAcentral